Long non-coding RNA from Oncorhynchus tshawytscha (Chinook salmon), 1992 nucleotides. The record is from Ensembl. NCBI's taxonomy places the organism in Eukaryota, Metazoa, Chordata, Actinopteri, Salmoniformes, Salmonidae.
CAGUUACAUAUGGACCCCGCCAAGGUCAUGGCAGUCACAGAGUGGCCUGCGCCCUUCAACCUGAAGCAGCUACAGCGUUUCCUGGGGUUUGCACAUUUUUAUAGAUGUUUCAUCCACAACUACAACCGUCUGGCUACACCUCUCACCACUGUCACCUCCACCUCCGUUCCACUGGACUCCUGAGGCAGAGGCAGCAUUCUUGGAACUCAAGUGUCAAGCUUCACCUCCGCUCCGGUCCUUAAUCAGCCCAACCCAGGACUCCAGUUCACCGUGGAGGUGGAUGCCUCUGACACCGGGGUAGGUGCUGUUCUGUCUCAACGUUCCCCCUCUACAUCCAGACCACCAAACAUCUGAACUCCCAGCGAGCCAGGUGGGUCUUGUUCUUCGGUAGAUUCAAUUUAACACUCACUUAUUGCCCCGGUUCUAAGAAUCCCAAGCCUGAUGCCCUCGCCCGCCAGUUCACCACGACAACACAGGAACCAAGCCAGAAACCAUUGUGCCAUCCACCUGCAUCAUUGCCGCCAUCGCCUGGGAGAUCAAUUCCUGUAUCCGCCAGGCUCAGCAGAACCAGCCUGACUGGUGUAAUGGUCCUAGGAAUGCUCUGUUUGUUCCAGAUUGUGUUGUCUCUGAGGUUCUUCAGUGGGGCCAUUCUACUCACCUCACCUGUCACACUGGUAUGAACCGGACCCUCACCUUCCUGCAUCAGCGCCACUGGUGGUCCACCAUAGAGGGAUGUCCUGGAGUUUGUCUCAGCCUGCUUGGUUUGUUCUUGGAACAAAACCUCCACUAAACCCACUUCCGGACUGCUGUGCCCUCUUCCAUACCAGUCGCCCCUGGCCACACAUAGCUCUGGACUUCGUCACAGGCCUUCCCCAUCUAACGACCAACGGCCAGACCAAAUGGGCCAACCAAGAGAUUGAGACUGCCAUACGCUGCGUGACUUCUGCUAACCUUUCCUCCUGGAGCGCUCAGCUACCCUGGGUUGAAUAUGCCCACAACACCCUCACCAAUGCCUCGUCAGGACCAUCUGCGCCGUUGUCAUCGUACCUGGAGGAAGGCUCGGGCUGCCCUUUGCGCCUCCGGCAGGACCCAGUCCCAAGCCAACUGUUGCCGGGUCUCAGCCCCAGUCUACACCCCAGGUCAAAAGGUAUGGCUCUCAUUAAAGGACCUGCCAUUGAAGGUGGCAUCGAAGAAACCUUCCCUCCGAUUUCAUUGGUCCCUUUGAAAGUGUCAUUAACCCCUCUGCUGUGAGCCUGAAACUCCCAGCCUCUCUCAGGAUCCAUCCUACCUUUCAUGUAUCCCUGAUUAAACCUGUCUGCUCCAGUCCCCUGUCUCAUCCUGCAGCAGCUCCUCCACCCCCUCAGCUCAUUGAUGACCAUCCUGCCUAUACCAUUCGGCGGAUUUUGGAUGUGCACCGUCGGGGUCGUGGCUGGCAGAAGGAUACGGACCGGAGGAGCGCUGCUGGGUGCGUGAUUUCUAUACCUCACACCCAGAUAAGCCAAGUGGCGCUGGUAGAAGGGGGUUACUGUUACAUCUGCUCCUGUCAUGCCCUCAACUGCUCAUCCUGUGUCUCCUUGACCUGCUGCCACUCCCCCAGUGCUCUCUCCCUCCCUCUGAUUGUGUGGGCGGAGACAGGUGUGCUCAGUCAGAGCAGAUCCCCACCAGCUACAACCUGUCCAUAAUCAAGACCUCUACAAAUACUCAGUCCUGCCACUUCCACACGGCCAGAUCGUAAUCUCUGCUCAUUCUGCCUGCUCUGACUCUUGUCCCUGUCUCCAGUCCCACGUCUCCUCAUCCUGCUACUCUGCCCUGGAUUCCCCACUCUACUGCUCCCUUGGAUUCCCCUCCGGACCUGCUUACCAUGUCCCAACUCCUCUCACUCCAGCCUCAGCCUCCGCACCUGGUUUCCUGCAACCCGCCCGAGCUUCCCCUGGCCUGCACUCCAUCUUCCCCCUGUGUUUCAAUACAUGUCUUGAUUACUUCAUUACUUCA